GUCAUAGUGUGAAUGGUGGAGCCAGGAUUUAUGCUCAGGCAGUGUAACUUCAUAGCCUUUGGUCUUAGCCACAAUGCUACUCUGCUUCCCAAUAAAUAUUUAGUCAAAGUUUAUUCAUCAGUAUAGAAUGAUGACAUUAUUUAUUAUUUAUUGACUGCAUAAACCCAAAUUAUCAAACACUUUUUCAACAUUCUCUCAAAGAAGUAAAUUCAAUAUAUCUAACUUGAAAUUUAGGAGCAUUAAAAAAUUAGGAAAACUAUUUUAUAGAACCAGAGUUUUUCAUGGGGACAGGUGCUAGGGUUCUCUGCUCCAGAAUUCUGAUGCUUAAAAUGUUGCAUAUUUGUUUUAGAUGGAAAAAGAGGGUGCUGGCAGAAGGAUCCCUGGUUGGGCAGCGACAUGCCAGUGUGUCCAGAGGAGUUCCCUGCCUGCCAGGAAUCUCAGCAGACACAGUGAUGUGAAGGAGCAAGACAAAAUGCCAGCAGAGACAGGGUUUCACCCUGUUAGCCAGGAUGGUCUCGAUCUCCUGACCUCAUGAUCCAUCCGCCUCGGCCCCCC
This 555-nucleotide long non-coding RNA is filed under the name Homo sapiens (human). RNAcentral's name for it is "PREDICTED lncRNA (TCONS_00238468)". Lineage: Eukaryota; Metazoa; Chordata; Mammalia; Primates; Hominidae. The record is from RNAcentral.